Molecule: ribosomal RNA, 253 nt
Filed under: uncultured bacterium
Lineage: Bacteria
Description: partial 16S ribosomal RNA
Rfam family: Bacterial small subunit ribosomal RNA
Source: RNAcentral
UACAGAGGGUGCAAGCGUUGUUCGGAAUUAUUGGGCGUAAAGAGCGUGUAGGCGGCCAGGUAGGUCUGCUGUGAAAACUCGAGGCUCAACCUCGAGACGUCGGCGGAAACCAUCUGGCUAGAGUCCGGAAGAGGAGAGUGGAAUUCCUGGUGUAGCGGUGAAAUGCGCAGAUAUCAGGAAGAACACCCGUGGCGAGGGCGGCUCUCUGGGACGGUACUGACGCUGAGACGCGAAAGCGUGGGGAGCGAACAGG